GUGGUCUUGCUAUGCAAGAACACUUAACUAGAAAAGUUACAAUUUCUGGGGAAAUUGUGUGAAGUGUUCUUGCCUCCACCUGUAGUCUACAACUGGAGUGGGCGGAGUAACUGUUAUCAUUUACAUAGCACAUUUAAUUGCAAUGUUGUUGCACAGUUACAUUAAACCAUACAUUUAUAAAAACAUUAGCAGGUGUUCAAAAGGCCCUGUCUAUGA
RNAcentral lists this long non-coding RNA (216 nucleotides) under Pelobates cultripes (western spadefoot toad). The record is from RNAcentral. Lineage: Eukaryota; Metazoa; Chordata; Amphibia; Anura; Pelobatidae.